GACGAACGCUGGCGGCGUGCUUAACACAUGCAAGUCGAACGGAAAGGCCCUGCUUGCAGGGUGCUCGAGUGGCGAACGGGUGAGUAACACGUGGGUGAUCUGCCCCUUACUUUGGGAUAAGCCUGGGAAACUGGGUCUAAUACUGGAUAGGGCCAUGCUGUAGGUGGUGUGGUGGAAAGAUUAGUUUCGGUAAGGGAUGAGCUCGCGGCCUAUCAGCUUGUUGGUGGGGUAAUGGCCUACCAAGGCGUCGACGGGUAGCCGGCCUGAGAGGGUGGACGGCCACAUUGGGACUGAGAUACGGCCCAGACUCCUACGGGGGGCAGCAGUGGGGAAUAUUGCACAAUGGGCGCAAGCCUGAUGCAGCGACGCCGCGUGGGGGAUGACGGCCUUCGGGUUGUAAACUCCUUUCAGCCAUGACGAAGCCCUUGUGGUGACGGUAGUGGUAGAAGAAGCACCGGCUAACUACGU
This 468-nucleotide ribosomal RNA is filed under the name uncultured bacterium. RNAcentral describes it as "partial 16S ribosomal RNA". It matches the Rfam family "Bacterial small subunit ribosomal RNA", at positions 28 to 506 of the family's 1533-position model. The record is from RNAcentral.